AGUUUACGCCCCCAGAAAGCAUCCAAGCAACGGUUGGGCCUGCCACGACUGAAUCCGAAUCUCCACUACCUGAGCAACCUUCGGCACCAGAAAUUUCUGAGACGCAGGUUGAGUCUGGAUUGCCAGAGCCUUCCACAGCUAACACAGAGAGUGUCUCUUAGGAAUGUUGGCAUAAUUUCUUUUAAGGGUACAGCUCAAAAGAUAAUAACCUUUUAGUUCAUACAUUCUUGGAAGGGAAAUAUCAUAUCACCACAGUUAUAUAUAUAAGAUGUUAUUCUUUUUUAUAACAUAACAACUAUUCGAUAUGUUCAAGUUAUUUACCAGAGUUUUCUUUUUUACUGGUACUGAACGAUUUACUAUACAAUUAAAUAAACAAAGCACAAUUAAUUUUUACGUUAUUUCAAAGAGAUUGUAGCAAAAAGAUGGAAAAACAAGAAUAAAGAAAAGAAAAGAUUAUUAAACAUAUGAAUCUUAACAGGACUAGCUAUUGGGAAUGGACGUUCCCGAAAAAGUUAAAAUACUUGAGUUCGCGAGAUAUAAUGAGACUGUUUAUCCUAGAGCUCAUUUGAAAAGCUACAGUCUGAAAAUGAUAAAGUACUCUUAGAAUCAACAACUACUAAUUCAUUAUUUCGAGCAAAGCCUCACUGGGAAGGCAGAAAAAUGGCUCUUCACAUUAGAGGUAACCCAAGUCAGGACCUAGGAAGAUUUGGUAGUGGCGUGUUCUUGUUCUAGUAUUGGUACCAUGUUGAGCUAGCUCUAUUAGAGAAGAAUUUCAGAGAACGGAGAAAAAGAAUUCAAAGACCUUCAAAGAGUAUGCCACUAGAUGGAGAUUCGCUUGUAGAACCCCUCCGAUAUAGAAAGAAACGAAUACCUUUUUUACGAAAACUUUGAAAGCAGUGCAUGCAGAUAAGUUACUUGGUCAUCUUAAUUUCUCAUUCACAGAUAUUGUGCACAUUAGAAAAAUGUGGAGGAUGCUGUUAAAGCAGGAAGACUGAUUGAUUAUAAUUUCCUCAAAAGCAUGCUUGAUCAACACCAAGCGAGCUACAGGAUCAAUCAAAAUAAGAAAGGGGAAAAUGAAGUACAAAUUACGAAUGCAGGGAACUCAUCUCAAAAGCCCUCCACACAACCACUUCAUACUCCCAGGCUACAACCCAAACUCCAAUAUAUCAUCUAUACUCUUCAAAACACAAUCCUCAUAUUAUAACUCCCCUCAGCUUAUACUCUCAUACCCUUAUCCCAUACUUGUCCAAAAUAGUCUUCCUCAUAAGCAAUGUUCCCAUAAACUCUAAUCCACAACAGCUCAUAAGAAUGGAAAGAUAGUUCACCAAAUAGCGCAUAUUUACACCAAAAAUCCACACCAGUUAUUAGCCCUUGGAAGAUAAAGUUGGAAUCUCCUAGAUCGGUAGUAUUUCUUGGUCGCUGCAGUUCAACUAACACGUUAAUAAACUAAAUCUUAAACUUAUUGAGUCAAAUAUCAUAAUUUAAGAACUAUCAACCGAUAACAUACCCAUAAAGUGGUGAGUUCUAUAUUAUUAAUGAAGUUCUACCUCAUCAACUUCAAAUGCAAUGCUAAGACUUGAUUUAUAAAAUACCGAAUUAUUGGUAGUUAAAUUACUUCUUUGAUUCGAACGCGAUAUGAGAGAAUACAAGGUACUCUGAUAGAUCCAACCUCCAGAUGGAGGUAGUUAAAUUGCUAUUAAAAAAUAGCACAUGGAUACCUAAUAUGUUAAAAAAUCUAGUUAAAUUUUGAAUAUAGUUUUCCAAUAUUUUCCAAUGAGCUACACAUACAUAUCUAUAUAAAUUUAUGUAUGUAUAUUAUAUUGCGUGCGAAAAAGAGAAACUACCUAAUCCAAACAGCCAAUAGUUGUUCAAAUGUUUGACUCAGUUGGCCUACUCUUUCCCUUUCGUCACACUAUUUUGAACUCAAGCUCCGAUUCAAAACUUGACAAAAACAUAAAAAGGAAAGAAAAAAACCAGUUCGAAUAAUUUUGACCUUUUCCAAUCGCAGUUGAGUGCUAACGGAGACUCCGAAAAUGGCGAAUUCGAGAAGAAGCAACCAUGUCGUUCAUCCAGUCGAUAUGGAAGCUCCUCCUCAUCCUCCUGCGGAAAUCAAGCAAUUUAAGAAAUGGAUGUGUUGGUUAAUACCUGUUUUCGUCUCUGCGAAUCUUAUCGUCUUCAUCAUCACCAUGUAUCAGAACAAUUGUCCAAAACAUUCAUCCUCUUGCAUCGCUACUUUCCUCGGCAGAUUCUCUUUCCAGCCCUUCAAGGAGAAUCCUCUUCUCGGUCCGACCUCCG
RNAcentral lists this long non-coding RNA (2295 nucleotides) under Carica papaya (papaya). RNAcentral describes it as "long non-coding RNA (CPAP_LNC004712)". The record is from RNAcentral. Lineage: Eukaryota; Viridiplantae; Streptophyta; Magnoliopsida; Brassicales; Caricaceae.